This 69-nucleotide non-coding RNA is filed under the name unclassified sequences. RNAcentral describes it as "DUF3800-IX RNA". It matches the Rfam family "DUF3800-IX RNA". Rfam says of the family: Actinobacteria, Firmicutes (1 example), Nitrospirae, Proteobacteria, Verrucomicrobia (1 example). The record is from Rfam by way of RNAcentral.
GACCUGUAUCUCGAACUGUUACCGGAUGGUGGCGUGUAGAGGACAACUCUAAUAGAGACGUGGUUGGGA